This is a long non-coding RNA of Cheilinus undulatus (humphead wrasse), 1811 nucleotides long. RefSeq lists it as uncharacterized. Lineage: Eukaryota; Metazoa; Chordata; Actinopteri; Labriformes; Labridae. The record is from RefSeq and is a predicted model, not a curated record. The transcript has 2 exons.
AAAGAAAACAUAUAUGUAUAUUUUCAUGCACUUUGGUUUGCAUCACAGCUGAGGAGAGAACUUCCUGGAUCAAUUAUGUGAGCUCCUCACCAUUUACAACCAGCUAUUCAAAUGACACAUCCAUAGGAGCUAUUUUACCAUGACCAAUAGUUCUUUAACUCAAGAAAAAAAAAAAGAAGAGAAAAAUUAGCUGAAUUUUUUGAUCAUCAGGGUCACAUCUUGCUCACUGACUGAUCAAAAUCAAAAAGGGGUGGGACGUAUGACACCAACUUUGUCUGGGAAGACAAGGCUGGUGGGGAAGAGAACCCGAUCUGACUCGUCUUUUCAAGGGUUAUGUUCCCUAGAGCUAGUGUUUGAGUAAGGACAGGAUUGCUUUACAUUAUUUUCAUAUUUCAGACCACCUGGUAUCCCAACGUCCCCUCUUGCCCGGCCUGCCAUGCACAGUACCCCUAUGAGCACUCCUGGUGGGCCCACAGAGUGGUGGCCCCAUGUUAUCUCUCCAGGCUGGGUGUGAGCAGGCCACAUGGAGAUAAGGCCAGACACCAGAUGAGCUCCAUCCAGCUCCCCCAGGUCUGGCUCCAGGGGGGUGCCCCGGUAUCCCUCUUCUGGGAGAGCUGAUGGCAAACUUACAGUGCCGGUCUAGUCCCUUUCCUGGUGACUGAUUGACCUUGGGAAACCCUAACAGGGGCUAGUGCCCCCGAUAAUCUUGCUACCAGAUUUUCAGGGACACACAAACGCCCCCAUCAUGAUAUAGUGACAACUCUAAUGAUACUAACUCGGGUCAAUCUUUGUUCCAACCCUCACCUAUGGUCAUGAACUCUUGGUGAUGACCAAAAGAAUGAGAUCGCAGAUUCAAAUGGUCUAAAUGAGAUUUCUCAGGGGGGUGUCUGGGCUCAGCUUUAGAGAUAGGGUGAAAAGCUCAGACAUCCAGAGGACUUGAAGUAGAGCCGCUGUUCCUUCACAUUGAAAGGAGUCAGUUGUGAUGGUUUGGUCCUCAGAUCAGGAUGUCUCCUGGUUACCUCCCUGUCCUAUUCUUCCAGGCGUGUCCAACUGGAAGAAGAUCCUGGGGUAGACCCAGGACUCAGUGGAAGGAUUAUAUCUGAUCUGGCCUGGGAACACCUGGGAUUCCCCCAGGAAGAGCUGGAAAAUGUUGUUAGGGAGAGGAAUGUCUGGUUGGACUUGCUUAGCCUGCUACCACUGUGACCCAGCUGGAAGACAAGUUUCUUAACCUAACAAUAAACUUUGGUGUGAGAAGCUUUGAAACUGAGGUAGUAGGGGAUCUCAAAACAAAAAAAAGUGGAUGUGGACAAAAGCUCUGAUAACAUCAAAAUUGAAAAAAAAAAAAAAGACAGUUGGCAUGUACCCUUACGAGAGGGUGAGAUUUUUUUCUGUGAAUGAAAAUGAGCGAGCAAGUGUCCCAAACACAACAGACAUGUAAGAAAGAAUUUGAGGCAGAUUGCAGAUGGUAAAUGAGAGUGUAGUGUUUUAAAUUGUAUUCUGUGUAUUAUUUUGGUUACUUCCGGUUUCCGGAGUAUCGUGCUGGCUGCUAACUUUACUCUGCUCUCCCUGAGGCAUCCACCCCUCCCCCCUGGUGCUGUGGAGAGUCACACCUGCAGCAAAUCACUCAUUUGACGGACACUACUUAAGAUCGGCUGCAGCUCUCUACAGCGCCUGAGUCUUGCAGAACUUACCUCACGUGCCUCCAGCCCAGAUCACCGCAGCCAGCACCAGCGCACUCUCUCACUCACCAGGACUCUUGGAAUCCCCCCUCCCUUAUUCACUUACCUGCACAAUAAAACUGUUCAAACCUG